RNAcentral lists this long non-coding RNA (612 nucleotides) under Ananas comosus (pineapple). RNAcentral describes it as "long non-coding RNA (ACOM_LNC010029)". Lineage: Eukaryota; Viridiplantae; Streptophyta; Magnoliopsida; Poales; Bromeliaceae. The record is from RNAcentral.
GCCUUUCCAGAUGAGCCGGAGCUAGAGGAGUACCUUCUACAGGUAGUAGUACUUUUAUUUUGAGUUCAUGUACAUACAGAUGUUAUAACUCGCUGGGGCGAGUAUUUUUGUACCUGGACGCUAUGUAUAUAUAUGGAACUUGUUUAUAUAUCUGUUUUAUCUCUAGCAGCUCUAUACUACUGGUUGUAGUGUUGUAUGUUUACAGGUACAGUACAGCUUUCGCUUCGUAUACGGAAAAAAUUUCUAUGUAUACGGCGGGUCUGUUAGCGUGCCCAGGGAAACGAGUAAUCCAGGGCGUGACAAAUAUGUUAUGGACUAUUUAGUAAAUAUUUCAAUGUUUGAGAAUAGUGAUAAAAUUAAUAUAUAAAGCUAUAAUUAUAAAUAUAGAUAUAAAAUUUUUUUUAAUUAUAUAAUAUAACAAAUAAUUAAAAUUAUAUAUAAUUAUAUAAUUUUAAAUAUAGAAAAGCAGAUUACUUUAAAUAUUUAUUAUGUAAAAAAAUUACCUUAGAAAAAUUAACUUAGUAGCAUUCUAUUUUAGCAUUUGUCUGAAAAUACAAAACAACUAGAAUUUCAAACUUGGGACCUCCGAUGCCAACCAUUAAAUGUUUUGCC